AACACGUAAGUAAUCUACCUCUGAGUGGGGAAUAACAACCGGAAACGGUUGCUAAUACCGCAUAACGCAGCGGCACCGCAAGGUGACAGUUGUUAAAGAUUUAUCGCUUGGAGAGGAGCUUGCGGCAGAUUAGCUAGUUGGUAAGGUAAUGGCUUACCAAGGCAACGAUCUGUAGCCGGUCUAAGAGGACGGUCGGUCACACUGACACUGAAUAACGGGUCAGACUCCUACGGGAGGCAGCAGUCGGGAAUUUUGGGCAAUGGGCGAAAGCCUGACCCAGCAACGCCGCGUGAAGGAUGAAGUAUUUCGGUAUGUAAACUUCGAAAGAAUGGGAAGAAUUAAUGACGGUACCAUUUAUAAGGUCCGGCUAACUACGUGCCAGCAGCCGCGGUAAUACGUAGGGACCAAGCGUUGUUCGGAUUUACUGGGCGUAAAGGGCGC
RNAcentral lists this ribosomal RNA (441 nucleotides) under uncultured Bacteroides sp. RNAcentral describes it as "bacterial SSU rRNA". It matches the Rfam family "Bacterial small subunit ribosomal RNA", at positions 112 to 570 of the family's 1533-position model. Lineage: Bacteria; Pseudomonadati; Bacteroidota; Bacteroidia; Bacteroidales; Bacteroidaceae. The record is from RNAcentral.